Molecule: long non-coding RNA, 237 nt
Filed under: Trifolium pratense (red clover)
Lineage: Eukaryota; Viridiplantae; Streptophyta; Magnoliopsida; Fabales; Fabaceae
Description: long non-coding RNA (TPRA_LNC011467)
Source: RNAcentral
AGAAAAUAUAUAUACAGAAGGCAACCACGCCGCGCGCCAGAUCUAUCACGCCGCGCGUGGUUGCAAAUUCAUCAACUACGCCGCGCGUGGUAACAGAAUCACGCGGCGCGUGAUCAAGUCAGAGAGUAUUCUUCUUCUUCAGCAAAGCUUCACGCCGCGCGUGGUCAAAGCUACGCCGCGCGUGGGCAAGUCAGAGAGCAAUCCAGUUCCUGAACAAAGGUUCACGCCGCGCGUGGU